CGCAAGCCUGACGGAGCAAGACCGCGUGCGGGAUGACGGCCUAAUGGUUGUAAACCGCUUUUCUCUGGGAAGAUGAUGACGGUACCAGAGGAAUCAGCCUCGGCUAACUCCGUGCCAGCAGCCGCGGUAAUACGGAGGAGGCAAGCGUUAUCCGGAAUUAUUGGGCGUAAAGCGUCCGUAGGUGGUUAUUCAAGUCUGCUGUCAAAGCGUGGGGCUUAACUCCAUAGAGGCAGUGGAAACUGGAUGACUUGAGUGCGGUAGGGGUCGAGGGAAUUCCCAGUGUAGCGGUGAGAUGCGUAGAUAUUGGGAAGAACACCAGUGGCGAAAGCGCUCGACUGGGCCUGCACUGACACUGAGGGACGAAAGCUAGGGGAGCG
This 377-nucleotide ribosomal RNA is filed under the name uncultured cyanobacterium. Its description in RNAcentral is "bacterial SSU rRNA". It matches the Rfam family "Bacterial small subunit ribosomal RNA", at positions 376 to 770 of the family's 1533-position model. Lineage: Bacteria; Bacillati; Cyanobacteriota. The record is from RNAcentral.